Molecule: ribosomal RNA, 501 nt
Filed under: uncultured bacterium
Lineage: Bacteria
Description: partial 16S ribosomal RNA
Rfam family: Bacterial small subunit ribosomal RNA
Source: RNAcentral
GACGAACGCUGGCGGCGUGCCUAAUACAUGCAAGUCGAGCGAGUCUCUUCGGAGGCUAGCGGCGGACGGGUGAGUAACACGUAGGCAACCUGCCUCUCAGACUGGGAUAACAUAGGGAAACUUAUGCUAAUACCGGAUAGGUUUUUGGAUCGCAUGAUCCGAAAAGAAAAGGCGGCUUUGGCUGUUACUGGGAGAUGGGCCUGCGGCGCAUUAGCUAGUUGGUGGGGUAACGGCCUACCAAGGCGACGAUGCGUAGCCGACCUGAGAGGGUGACCGGCCACACUGGGACUGAGGCACGGCCCAGACUCCUACGGGAGGCAGCAGUAGGGAAUUUUCCACAAUGGACGAAAGUCUGAUGGAGCAACGCCGCGUGAACGAUGAAGGUCUUCGGAUUGUAAAGUUCUGUUGUUAGGGACGAAUAAGUACCGUUCGAAUAGGGCGGUACCUUGACGGUACCUGACGAGAAAGCCACGGCUAACUACGUGCCAGCCGCCGCCGUAA